This 497-nucleotide ribosomal RNA is filed under the name uncultured bacterium. RNAcentral's name for it is "partial 16S ribosomal RNA". It matches the Rfam family "Bacterial small subunit ribosomal RNA", at positions 28 to 507 of the family's 1533-position model. The record is from RNAcentral.
GAUGAACGCUGGCGGCGUGCCUAAUACAUGCAAGUCGAGCGAACGGACGAGAAGCUUGCUUCUCUGAUGUUAGCGGCGGACGGGUGAGUAACACGUGGAUAACCUACCUAUAAGACUGGGAUAACUUCGGGAAACCGUAGCUAAUACCGGAUAAUAUUUUGAACCGCAUGGUUCAAAAGUGAAAGACGGUCUUGCUGUCACUUAUAGAUGGAUCCGCGCUGCAUUAGCUAGUUGGUAAGGUAACGGCUUACCAAGGCAACGAUGCAUAGCCGACCUGAGAGGGUGAUCGGCCACACUGGAACUGAGACACGGUCCAGACUCCUACGGGAGGCAGCAGCAGGGAAUCUUACGCAAUGGGCGAAAGCCUGACGGAGCAACGCCGCGUGAGUGAUGAAGGUCUUCGGAUCGUAAAACUCUGUUAUUAGGGAAGAACAUAUGUGUAAGUAACUGUGCACAUCUUGACGGUACCUAAUCAGAAAGCCACGGCUAACUAUGUG